UUUUUCAUUUCACAGCCUUCAUGGGGCUUUGAAUUCAGCCUCAAACAUUGUGAUAAUCCGAUCCUGACACUUGCCCUCCCCUCAUUCACUCUUUUAACAAUCCCAAGAGAGUGCAGGACUGAGAUCCGAAAAUGUUAUUAUGGAGGGGAAAUAAAGGUUAUUUUGAAUGCUUCAAGGUCACGUGACUUGUAAGAAGAAGUCAGUUGCUAUGUACAAAGUCCUACUACUCUAAGACUGCCAUACCAUGAGAAGCCCAACCUAGCCAUGUGGAGAGGUCAUGUGAAGGAGAACUGAGUCUUCCAGCCAGCAACCCCAGCUGAGCUUCCAGCCAACAAACAGCACUAACUUGCAUGGGAGAAGCUGUCCAGGAAGUGAAUCCUUGAGCUCCAAUUGAGCUGCCUCAAGCUGGUGUCACGUGGAGCAGAGAUGAGCUGUCCCUGACAUACCUUGCACAAAUUUCAGAAACAUAAGUAAAUAAAAGAAAUAUUUGUAUUUUAA
Molecule: long non-coding RNA, 498 nt
Organism: Homo sapiens (human)
Lineage: Eukaryota; Metazoa; Chordata; Mammalia; Primates; Hominidae
Exons: 3
Source: RefSeq, a predicted model, not a curated record